RNAcentral lists this ribosomal RNA (182 nucleotides) under uncultured bacterium. RNAcentral describes it as "partial 16S ribosomal RNA". It matches the Rfam family "Bacterial small subunit ribosomal RNA", at positions 1320 to 1500 of the family's 1533-position model. The record is from RNAcentral.
AUGAAGUUGGAAUCGCUAGUAAUCGCGAAUCAGAAUGUCGCGGUGAAUACGUUCCCGGGUCUUGUACACACCGCCCGUCACACCAUGGGAGUCGGAAAUGCCCGAAGUCUGUGACCCAACCAUUAAGGAGGGAGCAGCCGAAGGCAGGUCGGAUGACUGGGGUGAAGUCGUAACAAGGUAAC